Molecule: ribosomal RNA, 474 nt
Filed under: uncultured bacterium
Lineage: Bacteria
Description: SSU rRNA
Rfam family: Bacterial small subunit ribosomal RNA
Source: RNAcentral
AGGACGAACGCUGGCGGCGUGCUUAACACAUGCAAGUCGAACGGUAAGGCCUUUCGGGGUACACGAGUGGCGAACGGGUGAGUAACACGUGGGUGAUCUGCCCUGCACUUUGGGAUAAGCCUGGGAAACUGGGUCUAAUACCGAAUAUGACCAUUGGUUGCAUGACUGGUGGUGGAAGCUUUUGCGGUGUGGGAUGGGCCCGCGGCCUAUCAGCUUGUUGGUGGGGUUAAGGCCUACCAAGGCGACGACGGGUAGCCGGCCUGAGAGGGUGUCCGGCCACACUGGGACUGAGAUACGGCCCAGACUCCUACGGGAGGCAGCAGUGGGGAAUAUUGCACAAUGGGCGCAAGCCUGAUGCAGCGACGCCGCGUGAGGGACGACGGCCUUCGGGUUGUAAACCUCUUUCAGUAGGGACGAAGCGCAAGUGACGGUACCUACAGAAGAAGGACCGGCCAACUACGUGCCAGCAGCCGC